AGUGAACGCUGGCGGUAGGCCUAACACAUGCAAGUCGAACGGCAGCACAGUAAGAGCUUGCUCUUACGGGUGGCGAGUGGCGGACGGGUGAGGAAUACAUCGGAAUCUACUUUUUCGUGGGGGAUAACGUAGGGAGACUUACGCUAAUACCGCAUACGACCUACGGGUGAAAGCAGGGGAUCUUCGGACCUUGCGCGAUUGAAUGAGCCGAUGUCGGAUUAGCUAGUUGGCGGGGUAAAGGCCCACCAAGGCGACGAUCCGUAGCUGGUCUGAGAGGAUGAUCAGCCACACUGGAACAGAGAGACGGGCCAGACUCGUACGGGGGGCAGCAGUGGGGAAUAAUGGACGAUGGGCGCAAGCCUGAUCCAGCCAUACCGCGUGGGUGAAGAAGGCCUUCGGGUGGUAAAGCCCUUUUGUUGGGAAAGAAAAGCAGCAGGUUAAUACGCCGCUGUUCUGACGGUACCCAGAGAAUAAGCACCGGCUAACUUCG
RNAcentral lists this ribosomal RNA (490 nucleotides) under uncultured bacterium. RNAcentral's name for it is "partial 16S ribosomal RNA". It matches the Rfam family "Bacterial small subunit ribosomal RNA", at positions 29 to 505 of the family's 1533-position model. The record is from RNAcentral.